This 253-nucleotide ribosomal RNA is filed under the name uncultured bacterium. Its description in RNAcentral is "partial 16S ribosomal RNA". It matches the Rfam family "Bacterial small subunit ribosomal RNA", at positions 524 to 776 of the family's 1533-position model. The record is from RNAcentral.
UACGUAGGGUGCAAGCGUUGUCCGGAAUUAUUGGGCGUAAAGAGCUCGUAGGCGGUUUGUCGCGUCUGCUGUGAAAACUCGGGGCUUAACUCCGGGCCUGCAGUGGGUACGGGCAGACUAGAGUGCGGUAGGGGAGACUGGAAUUCCUGGUGUAGCGGUGAAAUGCGCAGAUAUCAGGAGGAACACCGGUGGCGAAGGCGGGUCUCUGGGCCGUAACUGACGCUGAGGGGCGAAAGCGUGGGGAGCGAACAGG